This 253-nucleotide ribosomal RNA is filed under the name uncultured bacterium. RNAcentral's name for it is "partial 16S ribosomal RNA". It matches the Rfam family "Bacterial small subunit ribosomal RNA", at positions 524 to 776 of the family's 1533-position model. The record is from RNAcentral.
UACGGGGGGGGCAAGCGUUGUUCGGAAUUACUGGGCGUAAAGGGUUCGUAGGUGGCUUGCUAAGUCAGACGUGAAAUCCCUCAGCUUAACUGGGGAACUGCGUCUGAGACUGGCAAGCUUGAGUGCAGGAGAGGAAUGCGGAAUUCCAGGUGUAGCGGUGAAAUGCGUAGAUAUCUGGAGGAACACCGGUGGCGAAGGCGGCAUCCUGGACCGGCAUUGACGCUGAGGCGCGAAAGCUAGGGGAGCAAACGGG